Molecule: non-coding RNA, 2708 nt
Organism: Microcebus murinus (gray mouse lemur)
Lineage: Eukaryota; Metazoa; Chordata; Mammalia; Primates; Cheirogaleidae
Source: RefSeq, a predicted model, not a curated record
AUGCAGUCCAUGCUUAAUAAAUUGAAGAGUACUGUUACAAAAGUCACAGCUGACGUCACUAGUGCUGUAAUGGGAAAUCCUGUCACUAGAGAAUUUGAUGUUGGUCGACACAUUGCUAGUGGUGGCAAUGGGCUAGCUUGGAAGAUUUUUAAUGGCACAAAAAAAUCAACAAAACAGGGAUUGCUUGGCAUUUUGUACGGAACCAGUUUUUGCCAGUUUAGCCAACGUUCUUGGUAACUGGGAAAACCUGCCUUCCCCUAUAUCUCCGGACAUUAAAGAUUAUAAACUUUAUGAUGUAGAAACCAAAUAUGGCUUGCUUCAGGUUUCUGAAGGGUUGUCAUUUUUGCAUAGCAGUGUGAAAAUGGUUCAUGGAAAUAUUACUCCAGAAAAUAUAAUUUUGAAUAAAAGUGGAGCCUGGAAAAUAAUGGGUUUUGAUUUUUGUGUAUCAUCAGCCAAUCCCUCUGAACAAGAGCCUAAAUUUCCUUGUAAAGAAUGGGACCCAAAUUUACCAUCGUUAUGUCUUCCAAAUCCUGAAUAUUUGGCUCCUGAAUACAUACUUUCUGUAAGCUGUGAAACAGCCAGUGAUAUGUAUUCUUUAGGAACUGUUAUGUAUGCUGUAUUUAAUAAAGGGAAACCUAUAUUUGAAGUCAACAAACAAGAUAUUUACAAGAGUUUCAGUAGGCAGUUGGAUCAGUUGAGUCGUUUGGGAUCUAAUUCACUUACAAAUGUAUCUGAGGAAGUCCGUGAACAUGUAAAACUACUGUUAAAUGUAACUCCGACUGUCAGACCAGAUGCAGAUCAAAUGACAAAGAUUCCCUUCUUUGAUGAUGUUGGUGCAGUAACACUACAAUAUUUUGAUACCUUAUUCCAAAGAGAUAACCUUCAGACAUCACAGUUUUUCAAAGGACUGCCAAAGGUUCUACCAAAACUGCCCAAGCGUGUCAUCGUGCAGAGAAUUUUGCCUUGUUUGACUUCAGAAUUUGUAAACCCUGACAUGGUACCCUUUGUUUUGCCCAAUGUCCUACUGAUUGCUGAGGAAUGCACCAAAGAAUAUGUCAAAUUAAUUCUACCUGAACUUGGCCUUGUAUUUAAACAGCAGGAGCCAAUCCAGAUUUUGUUAAUUUUCUUACAAAAAAUGGAUUUGCUACUAACCAAAACCCCUCCUGAUGAGAUAAAACACAGUGUCCUACCAAUGGUUUACAGAGUACUAGAAGCUCCUUCCAUUCAGAUCCAGGAGCUCUGUCUAAACAUCAUUCCAACCUUUGCAAAUCUUAUAGACUACCCAUCCAUGAAAAAUGCUUUGAUUCCAAGAAUUAAAAAUGCCUGUCUACAAACGUCUUCCCUUGCUGUUCGUGUAAAUUCAUUAGUGUACUUAGGAAAGAUUUUGGAAUACUUGGAUAAGUGGUUUGUACUUAAUGAUAUCCUACCCUUCUUACAACAAACUCCAUCCAAGGAACCUGCGGUCCUCAUGGGAAUUUUAGGUAUUUACAAAUGUACUUUUACUCAUAAGAAGUUGGGAAUCACCAAAGAGCAGCUGGCUGGAAAAGUAUUGCCUCAUCUCAUACCCUUGAGUAUUGAAAACAAUCUUAAUCUUAAUCAGUUCAAUUCUUUCAUUUCCGUCAUAAAAGAGAUGCUUAGUAGAUUGGAAUCUGAACAUAAGACUAAACUGGAGCAACUUCAUAUAAUGCAAGAACAGUAGAAAUCUUUGGACAUAGGAAAUCAAAUGAAUGCUUCUGAGGAGACAAAAGUUACAAAUGUUGGGAAUCAGCAAAUUGACAAGGUUUUUAACAACAUUGGAGCAGACCUUCUGACUGGUGGGGAAUCAGAAAAUAAAGAGGAUGGGUUACAGAAUAAGCAUAAAAGAGCAUCACUUACACUUGAAGAAAAACAAAAAUUAGCAAAAGAACAAGACCAGGCACAGAAGUUGAAAAGCCAGCAGCCUCUAAAACCCCAAGUGCAUACACUUAUUGCUCCAGUCAAACAGACUAAGGACUUGACAGACACAUUGAUGGAUAAUAUGUCAUCUUUGACCAGCCUUUCUGUUAGUAACCCUAAACUUUCUACUUCAAGUACCUUCACCUCUGUUCCUUCCAUGGGCAUUGGCAUGAUGUUUUCUACACCAAUUGAUAAUACAAAGAGAAACUUGACGAACGGCCUAAAUGCCAAUAUGGGCUUUCAGACUUCAGGAUUCAACAUGCCUGUUAAUACAAAUCAGAACUUCUUCAGUAGUUCAAGCACACCUGGAGUGAGCAAGAUGACUCUGGGAGCAGCUCCCACUCUGCCAAACUUCAAUGCUUUGAGUGUUCCUCCUGCUGGUUUGAAGCAGACCCAACAAAGACCUGCAGAUAUGUCUACCCUUAAUAAUCUCUUUGGCCCUCAGAAACCCAAAGUUAGCAUGAACCAGUUAUCACAACAGAAACCAAAUCAGUGGCUUAAUCAGUACCUCCUCAAGGCUCUUCAGGUAUGGGCAGUUCUGUAAUGGGAACACAGAUGAACAUGAUGGGACAAUCUGCCUUUGGUAUGCAGGGUAAUCCUUUCUUUAGCCCACAGAACUUUGCACAGCCAAAGUUCCAACUACUAUGACCAAUAGCAGUUCGGCUAGCAAUGAUUUAAAAGAUCUUUUUGGGUGAGGUGUCUUGCUUCUAUUUUGAAGGAUUACUCAGUUUUAAUCACGGGUGAGCUGAUUUGCAUCUUAGUCUAGUUGGCUU